UGGGGAAUAUUGGACAAUGGGCGAAAGCCUGAUCCAGCCAUGCCGCGUGUGUGAAGAAGGUCUUCGGAUUGUAAAGCACUUUAAGUUGGGAGGAAGGGCAGUAAGCGAAUACCUUGCUGUUUUGACGUUACCGACAGAAUAAGCACCGGCUAACUCUGUGCCAGCAGCCGCGGUAAUACAGAGGGUGCAAGCGUUAAUCGGAAUUACUGGGCGUAAAGCGCGCGUAGGUGGUUCGUUAAGUUGAAUGUGAAAGCCCCGGGCUCAACCUGGGAACUGCAUCCAAAACUGGCGAGCUAGAGUAGGGCAGAGGGUGGUGGAAUUUCCUGUGUAGCGGUGAAAUGCGUGGAUAUAGGAAGGAACACCAGUGGCGAGGGCGACCACCUGGGCUCAUACUGACACUGAGGUGCGAAAGCGUGGGGAGCAAACAGG
This 429-nucleotide ribosomal RNA is filed under the name Pseudomonadota bacterium. RNAcentral's name for it is "Proteobacteria bacterium partial 16S ribosomal RNA". It matches the Rfam family "Bacterial small subunit ribosomal RNA", at positions 355 to 776 of the family's 1533-position model. The record is from RNAcentral. Lineage: Bacteria; Pseudomonadati; Pseudomonadota.